Molecule: ribosomal RNA, 458 nt
Filed under: uncultured bacterium
Lineage: Bacteria
Description: partial 16S ribosomal RNA
Rfam family: Bacterial small subunit ribosomal RNA
Source: RNAcentral
CCUACGGGGGGCAGCAGUGAGGAAUAUUGGUCAAUGGGCGAGAGCCGGAACCAGCCAAGUCGCGUGAGGGAGUACUGCCCUAUGGGUUGUAAACCUCUUUUGUCGGGGAGCAAAAGCCGGACGUGUCCGGCUGUGAGAGUACCCGAAGAAAAAGCAUCGGCUAACUCCGUGCCAGCAGCCGCGGUAAUACGGAGGAUGCGAGCGUUAUCCGGAUUUAUGGGGUUUAAAGGGUGCGCAGGAGGAUUUUUAAGUCAGCGGUCAAAUCGUGGGGCUCAACCCCAUCCAGCCGUUGAAACUGGGGAUCUAGAGUGUGCGAGAGGUAUGCGGAAUGCGUGGUGUAGCGGUGAAAUGCAUAGAUAUCACGCAGAACCCCGAUUGCGAAGGCAGCAUACCGGUGCACAACUGACGCUCAGGCACGAAAGCGUGGGUAUCGAACAGGAUUAGAUACCCUAGUAGUC